This 827-nucleotide long non-coding RNA is filed under the name Citrus x clementina. Its description in RNAcentral is "Citrus clementina (C. clementina) long non-coding RNA (CCLE_LNC001811)". Lineage: Eukaryota; Viridiplantae; Streptophyta; Magnoliopsida; Sapindales; Rutaceae. The record is from RNAcentral.
AUUGAUUUUAUUCUUCAUCUAUAUUUUAUAUUGAAAUUUUGCUUGUAAGAUUUUGAAUAGAUUAAAGGUCCCCCUCAAUACCAUAGAGGGCCUAAAGUGAUUAAUUCAUACCUAUCAUCAAAGGAAGCUAGCCCCACCACUAUAAUGCUACACAAAGCUUCACUACGCUUUUCACAACUCAAGUGUUGUGUCCAAUAACCCAAGAGUAUUUGACAACUAAACUACAUUUAACUUGUUUGAAACAACUCUUUGAUUGAUGUAAAUUAAAUAAGGGUGGGCAAAACCAAUCAAAUGCAAUGGACCUAAUCCAACCGAAUCUAACACAAUCUAAUUUUGACGGUUUGAGUGAAUUGUUGUAAGUUAAUUGAGUCAAUUUUUUCAAAACCAAUUACUAAUUGGGUUUGAUUAAGUUAAUUAUGAUGAACUUAUGAUGAACUCGUCUAAUCCUACCCAACCCACGUAACUACUAGUACUAAUAAUAAUAGUAAUGAUGAUGACGAUGAUGAUAUGAUGUUAAUAAUAACUAUAAUUAUAAAUCAAAUCUAUUCAAAUGAUUAGGUUUUAUAGUUUAGGAAAUAAAUAUAUUUAAUAGAGAUACUUUUAAAAUAUAAUAUUUACUUCUCAUUCAGACUUUUUUCAUUUGAAUAAAAAAAAAGUUCACUUUUUUUAUUCAAAUGUGGAUGUAUGAAAAUCAGACAAAGGUUGCAAAAAGCAAACAAAUGAACUUAGAAAAAGAAAUCUAAAUUAAGAAAAUUUCAAAUUUCAUGCGUUUAAGAAACAAGUUCUUAAUUUGUAUUUUAAUUAAUGUAUUCUAAUUGGAUAAAGAU